Molecule: ribosomal RNA, 253 nt
Filed under: uncultured bacterium
Lineage: Bacteria
Description: partial 16S ribosomal RNA
Rfam family: Bacterial small subunit ribosomal RNA
Source: RNAcentral
UACGUAGGGUGCGAGCGUUAAUCGGAAUUACUGGGCGUAAAGAGCGCGCAGGCGGCCGAGCAAGUCGAGUGUGAAAGCCCCGGGCUUAACUUGGGAAUUGCGCUCGAAACUACUUGGCUGGAGUGUGGCAGAGGAAGGUGGAAUUCCAGGUGUAGCGGUGAAAUGCGUAGAGAUCUGGAGGAACACCGAUGGCGAAGGCAGCCUUCUGGGCCAACACUGACGCUCAUGCACGAAAGCGUGGGGAGCAAACAGG